This 233-nucleotide ribosomal RNA is filed under the name uncultured bacterium. Its description in RNAcentral is "partial 16S ribosomal RNA". It matches the Rfam family "Bacterial small subunit ribosomal RNA", at positions 333 to 582 of the family's 1533-position model. The record is from RNAcentral.
UGCAUCCUACGGGACGCAGCAGUGGGGGAUAUUGCACAAUGGGGGGAACCCUGAUGCAGCGACGCCGCGUGGGUGAAGGAGUGCUUCGGCAUGUAAAGCCCUAUCGGCAGGGAAGAAGCAAGACGGUACCUGACUAAGAAGCCCCGGCUAACUACGUGCCAGCAGCCGCGGUAAUACGUAGGGGGCGAGCGUUAUCCGGAGUCACUGGGGGUAAAGGGAGCGUAGACGGGCAU